UUCUGUAAGCCUGUGAAGGUGGCCUGUGAGGGUUGCUGGAGGUAUCAGAAGUGCGAAUGCUGACAUAAGUAACGAUAAAGCGGGUGAAAAGCCCGCUCGCCGGAAGACCAAGGGUUCCUGUCCAACGUUAAUCGGGGCAGGGUGAGUCGACCCCUAAGGCGAGGCCGAAAGGCGUAGUCGAUGGGAAACGGGUUAAUAUUCCCGUACUUGGUGUUACUGCGAAGGGGGGACGGAGAAGGCUAUGUUGGCCGGGCGACGGUUGUCCCGGUUUAAGCGUGUAGGUGUGUGUUCCAGGUAAAUCCGGUUCACUUUAACACUGAGGCGUGACGACGAGGCACUACGGUGCUGAAGCAACAAAUGCCCUGCUUCCAGGAAAAGCCUCUAAGCAUCAGGUAACAUCAAAUCGUACCCCAAACCGACACAGGUGGUCAGGUAGAGAAUACCAAGGCGCUUGAGAGAACUCGGGUGAAGGAACUAGGCAAAAUGGUGCCGUAACUUCGGGAGAAGGCACGCUGACAC
RNAcentral lists this ribosomal RNA (519 nucleotides) under Salmonella enterica. RNAcentral's name for it is "partial 23S ribosomal RNA". It matches the Rfam family "Bacterial large subunit ribosomal RNA", at positions 1239 to 1757 of the family's 2925-position model. RNAcentral also lists the same sequence under 1 other name. Lineage: Bacteria; Pseudomonadati; Pseudomonadota; Gammaproteobacteria; Enterobacterales; Enterobacteriaceae. The record is from RNAcentral.